CUUGCCCCCAGAGGCGUUGCAGACACGGCUGUCGUGCCAUGUUUGCGUCAUUGGGUGGCAAAGAGGAAAGAAAGGCUAUGUCUACGCUCAGUGCUCUGAAAUGAAAAACCGUGGGCACUCAGAAUGAUUUGUAGCCUGACAAAA
Small nucleolar RNA from Anolis carolinensis (green anole), 144 nucleotides. The record is from Ensembl. NCBI's taxonomy places the organism in Eukaryota, Metazoa, Chordata, Lepidosauria, Squamata, Anolidae.